UUCAAUGUCAAAACAGAAGGAUAAUGCAGGAUUCUGUAGAUGACAAAUAAAUAUUCAGGAUAGAUAAUCACCACUGAAUCAUGAACUAAUUAAUUAAUUGUCAUCUGUACAUACAAUUUCCCAAUGUUAUCUGUAUAUAAAAUUUCCCCAAUGCUGUUUCCUAGUUUAUUGCCUAGAUUUAUUCAUAUUGGCAAGGAGUUAGACAUUGUUAACACUAUGUAUGGGAUCUUUCUGGUACAAAUACAAAGUGGUUAUAUGUUCUAUGGUUAUUUUUGCAAAAGGUUAUGACAAAAGGGGUAACAUGAUGAAGUUACCACUUCAAAUUGAAUUUGUGGCUAUUCUCUACUCUCAAGCACAAGUAAUAAUCCUAGUCCUUGCCCUUGAUGUGACCAAUGGGAAAACAGCCUUCACCCGGUGAAUCACAACAUGUUGUGACUGAAAUCAAAGAUGGAGCUUAUCCAGUGAUUUCAAUAGGUGCUCGGGCGCUCGCCUAGGCGCUCGGGCGAGGCGAGGCGAGGCCCGAGCACCUCGCUUCAUGUCCAAGCACCUCGCUUCAACGAGGCGCCGCCUAGGCGUUCGCCCGAGCCCAGGCGCCGGGCGCUUCGGGCAAGCGCCCGGGUUAAACCAAGCGAUCGAACCAAUGUUUUACGUAUGGUUCGAUCUCCGGUGCUUUAGUUGGUUCAAUCAAACCAACUAAAUCACCGAUAGGCUCCCUCUCGCGAUUUCCCCGACUUCCCCAACCCUAACACUCGCGAUUUUGUCGUCAAGAUUUCUUCUCCGCUUUCGCUGCUCUCUACUGCCGCUGCCACUGUCGCUACUCGCCGCUGCCACAACCGCUGCUCACUGACUUCUCACCGCUGCCACAAUCGUCGCUCGUCACUACUGUCAUCGCUCGCCGCUCCCGCUCCCACUCUCGCUAUCGCUCGCGGCUCCCGCUGUAGCUACCGCUCGCCGCUCCCGCUCCAGCUACCGCUGUCGUUGCCUCAACAGCCUUGGUCUUCUCACACUCUUCUCACUAUAUUGUUAACAAUAUAUUAACAGUAUAUUGCUUACUGUAUACUAAUAAUAGUAUUUUUAUUUAUUAGAUUAAUAAUAUAUUAUUUUGAUUUUAAUGCUAUUAAUUUUUAUUUAUUUAAAAUUAUUGUUAAGUUUCAGAAUAAAUGGCAAGUGUAUAGAGCAACUCAAUAGAUUUCAUGUAAAAUUUUAUUGUUUUGAUUUUUGAGACUUUUUAUUAAUAUAACAUUAUGAUUUUGUACCUAAUUUUCUUAAUUUAAUAGUCUAUUUUUUAUUUAAAUAAUUUAUAUUAAUUAUAUUAUAUAUUUUUAUAUUUUAGCGUCUCGCUUCGUUCGAGCGAGCGCCUGGGCGAGCGCCUAGCGCCUUAGGCAUUUUUGGACCUUAAUGCCUUUUGGCGCCUAGGGCUUUUUAAAUCACUGAGCUUAUGAGAGGACUGCACACUGGAGCGAGGUAGUACUUUGCUUAUAUUAAUUGUAUGUCAUUUUCCGUUUUCUUUUCAAUAUGACGAUGGAUAGAUCUAAUAUAUAGCAAUUUUUUUUUUCUUUUACCUGUUUAUAUAUUAUUUUAUCUUGUGUGCGCACCAUGCUGAGGCACAACUUAAUAU
Molecule: long non-coding RNA, 1618 nt
Filed under: Musa acuminata (dwarf banana)
Lineage: Eukaryota; Viridiplantae; Streptophyta; Magnoliopsida; Zingiberales; Musaceae
Description: long non-coding RNA (MACU_LNC005317)
Source: RNAcentral